RNAcentral lists this small RNA (606 nucleotides) under Pongo abelii (Sumatran orangutan). RNAcentral describes it as "processed transcript". Lineage: Eukaryota; Metazoa; Chordata; Mammalia; Primates; Hominidae. The record is from RNAcentral.
AUCCUUUUAGAAAAAUUGGGGCAGGGAAUACAUUGUGUGUCUGUGAAAAAGUUUCCUUUGUUCUUUCGGGCAUUUUCUAUUUUGAGUAAUGGAGUAGGAGUACGCAAAGGCUGCAGUUAGUUCACUUGAAUAAAAGACACUGCCUCUGAGUCAGAGCUGCCAGGUCGGCAGCUUCACUCCCAAGGGUGCCGCGAGCCCAGGCGGCGAGGACCCGGUACCCCUGGCGCAGCGAGGUGGGAUGCUGUGCGGACAGCAGCGCUAAGUGCCCCCCACCCCCGGCGCGGGGUGCACUCGCUUCUGGCCGCGGGCCGAGCGGCGGCGGCGGCGGCGGCGGAGGGGAUGAGCCCGGGACGCGCGAGGCGCCUGCCUCAAGCUACCGCCCGGAGAGGGACGCCGAGUAGGGCUCAUCGCAGGACCGCGCGGACCCCUGCCCCCCGUGGCACGCGGCUGCGGAGCCUUGAAGCCGCGUCUGUGAUCAGGAUGCACUGGGCGCCUCGCAGCUGGUGAGGAUGCCCUGCUGCGCGGCCCUGCGCCCCCAGCCCCAGUCCCAGGUGGGCAAGACUGAGUGGGCCCGGCUUCGGCCCCUCGUGCCGGUGGACGAAACGU